ACAUAGGGUGCGAGCGUUAAUCGGAAUUACUGGGCGUAAAGGGUGCGCAGGCGGUUUUGUAAGUCAGAUGUGAAAUCCCCGAGCUCAACUUGGGAACUGCGUUUGAAACUACAAGACUAGAGUGUGUCAGAGGGGGGUAGAAUUCCACGUGUAGCAGUGAAAUGCGUAGAUAUGUGGAGGAAUACCAAUGGCGAAGGCAGCCCCCUGGGAUAACACUGACGCUCAUGCACGAAAGCUAGGGUAGCAAAUGGG
RNAcentral lists this ribosomal RNA (252 nucleotides) under uncultured bacterium. RNAcentral describes it as "partial 16S ribosomal RNA". It matches the Rfam family "Bacterial small subunit ribosomal RNA", at positions 525 to 776 of the family's 1533-position model. The record is from RNAcentral.